AAUAGAUGAUGCCUUUGACUUUUUCUCACAUAUUUGACCAUUCGCCUUAUUUAAAAAAUUUACGUAAUUAUAAUUUAUUUUGUUAUGAGUUGUUUUAUCACUCGUAGUACUUUAAGUGUGAUUUAUAUCUUAUAGAUUUGCAUAAAAUUUUUAAAUGAGACGAAUGGUCAAACAUGUGAGAAAAAGUCAACGGUGUCAUCUAUU
This 204-nucleotide microRNA precursor is filed under the name Oryza barthii. RNAcentral describes it as "MIR812 microRNA precursor family". It matches the Rfam family "MIR812 microRNA precursor family". The record is from Rfam by way of RNAcentral. Lineage: Eukaryota; Viridiplantae; Streptophyta; Magnoliopsida; Poales; Poaceae.